Bos taurus (domestic cattle) is the source of this 73-nucleotide non-coding RNA. The record is from Rfam. Lineage: Eukaryota; Metazoa; Chordata; Mammalia; Artiodactyla; Bovidae.
UCUCUGGUGGUCCAGUGGCUAAGACGCUGCACUCUCAAUGCAGGGGACCCAGGUUCAGUGCCUGGUUAGGGAA